This 506-nucleotide ribosomal RNA is filed under the name uncultured bacterium. RNAcentral describes it as "partial 16S ribosomal RNA". It matches the Rfam family "Bacterial small subunit ribosomal RNA", at positions 29 to 523 of the family's 1533-position model. The record is from RNAcentral.
AUUGAACGCUGGCGGCAGGCCUAACACAUGCAAGUCGGACGGUAGCACAGAGGAGCUUGCUCCUCGGGUGACGAGUGGCGGACGGGUGAGUAAUGUCUGGGGAUCUGCCCGAUAGAGGGGGAUAACCACUGGAAACGGUGGCUAAUACCGCAUAACGUCGCAAGACAAAAGAGGGGGACCUUCGGGCCUCGCACUAUAGGCUGAACCCAGAUGGGAUUAGCUAGUAGGCGGGGUAAUGGCCCACCUAGGCGACGAUCCCUAGCUGGUCUGAGAGGAUGACCAGCCACACUGGAACUGAGACACGGUCCAGACUCCUACGGGAGGCAGCAGUGGGGAAUAUUGCACAAUGGGCGCAAGCCUGAUGCAGCCAUGCCGCGUGUAUGAAGAAGGCCUUCGGGUUGUAAAGUACUUUCAGCGGGGAGGAAGGCGGUGCGGUUAAUAACCGCGCUGAUUGACGUUACCCGCAGAAGAAGCACCGGCUAACUCCGUGCCAGCAGCCGCCGUAA